ACAAAUAAUUAAACAACAUCUUUGGAGUUUGCUGUGACUUCUGUACAUCUAACAAGCUGUACUUUCACAGAAGCUUUCUGGAGGUUGCACAGUUAUUAAAACCAGUUAGGGGCCUUAUCUUUUGGGAAACAAAAACUUACAUUCCUUAGAGCCAAGGAGAUGCCCCGACUAAGAACACAUCUGCGGCACUAAUUUCAUCAGCGUUUCUGUCUUCAGGAAUUCAAGGUCUAAUUUUGCUUAUCUAACAACAGUCCAGUUGGGGGAAAUGAAAGGGUCCAUUGAUCACUCUGUUGGGUGAGAGAACAGGAUGACCCAUGCUGAAGGAUGUCACACUAUCACACUGAGUUUGCAGGCAGCGAGAGACCACUGAGGUCACUCCCGUCUCGGGAUGGCAUCUUGGCAGAUGAGCUGAUGGAUUAAAAAGCUGAGAUAUUUGGGGAAGAAAGAUAUUCACUCUCAAAAAUGUUGUUUCUGAGGAUCCUGUUUUCUAGAGAAAAUGUUACAAACUCAAAUUGUUGCAGGGACCAAACAGGUAACAUCAGUGUGGAUAAAGUGGGCCAGAAAUAACAAAAGGGAGUGAAGGGUCAGAGUGAACCAUCAGAGAGGACCAGGCCUUCCUUGAAAAGAUGUGGGGGAUGGGAUGCUGCAAUUCAAUUCAAGCAGAAUGUGUCUUUGUGUUAUUAGCUAUUACCAUUUAUAUUCAAAGAAAGACAUAUAUACAUUUUAUGUGA
Molecule: long non-coding RNA, 731 nt
Filed under: Homo sapiens (human)
Lineage: Eukaryota; Metazoa; Chordata; Mammalia; Primates; Hominidae
Description: HSALNT0338363
Source: RNAcentral